RNAcentral lists this long non-coding RNA (318 nucleotides) under Hordeum vulgare. RNAcentral's name for it is "long non-coding RNA (HVUL_LNC009380)". The record is from RNAcentral. Lineage: Eukaryota; Viridiplantae; Streptophyta; Magnoliopsida; Poales; Poaceae.
UCUCCAAAGGCUCAAGGGGAGGCAUGCUGGAGAAUGCAGUGGCCUCGUCCGGCUCCUAUUCAAGUACGAUCUCGAAGAAGACAGUGACACACUGCUGGGCUAGAUGGGAUGAGGACAGUGACACACUGCGGGGCUGGGGGAGUUAGUCCUCACCAGCGACACGAGGGAGAGGUGUCCGACGGGGCCGGACUUGGAACAAAGAGCUCGAGCUUCUCUGGUUCGGUGCGGGCGCGAGGAGGCUGAGGCACCGAGGAAGCACACGAAGUCCUUGGGGCGAGGAGCUUGGGUCCUCGGGCGUCUUAGGCAGCGGGAAGAGGC